Molecule: ribosomal RNA, 465 nt
Filed under: uncultured bacterium
Lineage: Bacteria
Description: partial 16S ribosomal RNA
Rfam family: Bacterial small subunit ribosomal RNA
Source: RNAcentral
AUGAACGCUGGCGGCGUGCUUAACACAUGCAAGUCGCACGAUGAAGCCCAGCUUGCUGGGUGGAUUAGUGGCGAACGGGUGAGUAACACGUGAGUAACCUGCCCUUGACUCUGGGAUAAGCCUGGGAAACUGGGUCUAAUACUGGAUAUGCCUUCUCAUCGCAUGGUGGGGGGUGGAAAGAUUUAUUGGUCUUGGAUGGACUCGCGGCCUAUCAGCUUGUUGGUGAGGUAAUGGCUCACCAAGGCGACGACGGGUAGCCGGCCUGAGAGGGUGACCGGCCACACUGGGACUGAGACACGGCCCAGACUCCUACGGGAGGCAGCAGUGGGGAAUAUUGCACAAUGGGCGCAAGCCUGAUGCAGCGACGCCGCGUGAGGGAUGACGGCCUUCGGGUUGUAAACCUCUUUCAGUAGGGAAGAAGCGAGAGUGACGGUACCUGCAGAAGAAGCGCCGGCUAACUACGUG